This 513-nucleotide long non-coding RNA is filed under the name Pan troglodytes (chimpanzee). RNAcentral's name for it is "long non-coding RNA NONPTRT016767". The record is from RNAcentral. Lineage: Eukaryota; Metazoa; Chordata; Mammalia; Primates; Hominidae.
CGAGACCAGCCCGCCCAAAGGGCGAAACCCCCGUCUCUACUAGAAAUACAAAAAAAUCAACCUGGCAUGGUGGCGGGCGCCUGUAAUCCCAGCUACUCGGGAGGCUGAGGCAGGAGAAUCGCUUGAACCCGAAAGAUGGAGGCUGUAGUGAGCCAAGAUCGCACCGCUGCACUCCAGCCAGGUCAAAAGAGUGAAACUCCAUCUCAAAACAAAGAUUAAAAAGCUCCUGUAGACCCUAGAAUACCACAGAAAAGAAAAGUUCUAGGAAGAAGCCCAGCCCCAGAAAAACAAAAACCAAAACAUUUAGAUCCAGAAAUGCCUGAGUGAAGAUGAACUUUGGUGAACUCCCCUUACAAUCCUGCUAAAAUCCCCACCCAGGGAAGAGCUUAUUCACCAUUUUCUAUACAUACAACAUGUGUAGAAGCAUGAUCGGCAAUUGUGUCUUCGCUGCCUUUACUCCACCUGUACAUACAAUGACUGAGCUAACCAGCCCAAUAAAAGCACUGUUUUCAC